This 468-nucleotide ribosomal RNA is filed under the name uncultured bacterium. RNAcentral describes it as "partial 16S ribosomal RNA". It matches the Rfam family "Bacterial small subunit ribosomal RNA", at positions 28 to 507 of the family's 1533-position model. The record is from RNAcentral.
GACGAACGCUGGCGGCGUGCUUAACACAUGCAAGUCGAACGGUGAAGCUCCAGCUUGCUGGAGUGGAUCAGUGGCGAACGGGUGAGUAACACGUGAGCAACCUGCCCCUGACUCUGGAAUAAGCGCUGGAAACGGCGUCUAAUACUGGAUACGAGAAGGGUCCGCAUGGGCACCUUCUGGAAAGUUUUUCGGUUGGGGAUGGGCUCGCGGCCUAUCAUCUUGUUGGUGAGGUAAUGGCUCACCAAGGCGACGACGGGUAGCCGGCCUGAGAGGGCGACCGGCCACACUGGGACUGAGACACGGCCCAGACUCCUACGGGAGGCAGCAGUGGGGAAUAUUGCACAAUGGGCGAAAGCCUGAUGCAGCGACGCCGCGUGAGGGAUGACGGCCUUCGGGUUGUAAACCUCUUUCAGCAGGGAAGAAGCGAAAGUGACGGUACCUGCAGAAGAAGCACCGGCUAACUACGUG